UACGGGAGGCAGCAGUGGGGAAUAUUGCACAAUGGGCGAAAGCCUGAUGCAGCUAUGCCGCGUGUAUGAAGAAGGCCUUAGGGUUGUAAAGUACUUUCAUCGGGGAGGAAAAACAAAACUAAUAAUUUUAUUUCUUGACGUUACCCGAAAAAGAAGCACCGGCUAACUCCGUGCCAGCAGCCGCGGUAAUACGGAGGGUGCUAGCGUUAAUCAGAAUUACUGGGCGUAAAGAGCACGUAGGUGGUUUUUUUAAGUUCAGAUGUGAAAUCCCUGGGCUUAACCUGGAACUGCAUUUUGAAACUGAAAUACUAGAGUAUCGUAGAGGGAGGUAGAAUUCUAGGUGUAGCGGUGAAAUGCGUAGAUAUCUGGAGGAAUACCUGUGGCGAAAGCGGCCUCCUAAACGAAUACUGACACUGAGGUGCGAAAGCGUGGGGAGCAAACAGGGAUUAGAUACC
RNAcentral lists this ribosomal RNA (455 nucleotides) under uncultured bacterium. RNAcentral's name for it is "bacterial SSU rRNA". It matches the Rfam family "Bacterial small subunit ribosomal RNA", at positions 340 to 786 of the family's 1533-position model. The record is from RNAcentral.